This 254-nucleotide ribosomal RNA is filed under the name uncultured bacterium. Its description in RNAcentral is "partial 16S ribosomal RNA". It matches the Rfam family "Bacterial small subunit ribosomal RNA", at positions 524 to 776 of the family's 1533-position model. The record is from RNAcentral.
UACGUAGGGUGCGAGCGUUGUCCGGAAUUAUUGGGCGUAAAGGGCUCGUAGGCGGUUUGUCGCGUCGGGAGUGAAAACUCAGGGCUUAACCCUGAGCCUGCUUCCGAUACGGGCAGACUAGAGGUAUGCAGGGGAGAACGGAAUUCCUGGUGUAGCAGGUGGAAUGCGCAGAUAUCAGGAGGAACACCGGUGGCGAAGGCGGUUCUCUGGGCAUUACCUGACGCUGAGGAGCGAAAGUGUGGGGAGCAAACAGG